GAUGAACGCUGGCGGCGUGCUUAACACAUGCAAGUCGAACGGAAAGGCUCCUGCUUGCAGGGGUACUCGAGUGGCGAACGGGUGAGUAACACGUGGGUGAUCUGCCCUGCACUUCGGGAUAAGCCUGGGAAACUGGGUCUAAUACCGGAUAGGACGAUGGUUUGGAUGCCAUUGUGGAAAGUUUUUCGGUGUGGGAUGAGCUCGCGGCCUAUCAGCUUGUUGGUGGGGUAAUGGCCUACCAAGGCGUCGACGGGUAGCCGGCCUGAGAGGGUGUACGGCCACAUUGGGACUCAGAUACGGCCCAGACUCCUACGGGAGGCAGCAGUGGGGAAUAUUGCACAAUGGGCGCAAGCCUGAUGCAGCGACGCCGCGUGGGGGAUGACGGCCUUCGGGUUGUAAACUCCUUUCGCUAGGGACGAAGCGCAAGUGACGGUACCUGGAGAAGAAGCACCGGCUAACUACGUG
Molecule: ribosomal RNA, 465 nt
Filed under: uncultured bacterium
Lineage: Bacteria
Description: partial 16S ribosomal RNA
Rfam family: Bacterial small subunit ribosomal RNA
Source: RNAcentral